ACGGAGGGUGCAAGCGUUAUCCGGAAUUACUGGGUUUAAAGGGUGCGUAGGCGGGUCUAUAAGUCAGAGGUGAAAGCUUUCAGCUUAACUGAAAAAUUGCCUUUGAUACUGUAGAUCUUGAAUUAUGUUGAGGUUAGCGGAAUGUGACAUGUAGCGGUGAAAUGCAUAGAUAUGUCAUAGAACACCAAUUGCGAAGGCAGCUAGCUAGGCAUAUAUUGACGCUGAGGCACGAAAGCAUGGGGAGCGAACAGG
RNAcentral lists this ribosomal RNA (252 nucleotides) under uncultured bacterium. Its description in RNAcentral is "partial 16S ribosomal RNA". It matches the Rfam family "Bacterial small subunit ribosomal RNA", at positions 525 to 776 of the family's 1533-position model. The record is from RNAcentral.